UGCUAAGGAAGGGAUUUAAACCCAUAUUUAAGCGUUU
Molecule: transfer RNA, 37 nt
Filed under: Sphaeriodiscus mirabilis
Lineage: Eukaryota; Metazoa; Echinodermata; Asteroidea; Valvatida; Goniasteridae
Description: partial tRNA-Phe
Source: RNAcentral